GACCUCAAAUCAGGUAGGACUACCCGCUGAACUUAAGCAUAUCAAUAAGCGGAGGAAAAGAAACUAACGAGGAUUCCCUUAGUAACUGCGAGUGAAGCGGGAAAAGCUCAAAUUUAAAAUCUGGCAGCGUUUGGUUGUCCGAGUUGUAACCUAGAGAAGUGCAGCCUGUGCUGGACCAUGUAUAAGUCUCCUGGAACGGAGUGUCACAGAGGGUGAGAAUCCCGUGUUUGACAUGGACUGCCAGUGCAUUGUGGCGUGCUCUCAAAGAGUCGAGUUGUUUGGGAAUGCAGCUCUAAACGGGUGGUAAAUUCCAUCUAAAGCUAAAUAUUGGCGAGAGACCGAUAGCGAACAAGUACCGUGAGGGAAAGAUGAAAAGAACUUUGGAAAGAGAGUUAAACAGUACGUGAAAUUGUUGAAAGGGAAACAUUUAAAGUCAGUUGUGUUAGCUGGGGAUCAACCCUGGGGUUAUUGCCUUUGGGUGUAUUUCCUGGUUGACAGGUCAACAUCAGUUCUGACCAGUAGAAAAAGGGCAAGGAAAUGUGGCACCUUCGGGUGUGUUAUAGUCCUUGGUUGUAUCUGGUGGUUGGGACUGAGGGAUGCAGCACACCGUAAGGGCCGUGGCCAGGUCAUUCAAUGGGCUGGCGACGUUUGUGCU
Molecule: ribosomal RNA, 655 nt
Filed under: Amanita curtipes
Lineage: Eukaryota; Fungi; Basidiomycota; Agaricomycetes; Agaricales; Amanitaceae
Description: partial large subunit ribosomal RNA
Rfam family: Eukaryotic large subunit ribosomal RNA
Source: RNAcentral